GAUGAACGCUAGCGGCAGGCUUAAUACAUGCAAGUCGAGGGGCAUCAAGGUACACGAAAGUGUAUUGUUGGCGACCGGCGGACGGGUGAGUAAUAGGUAGGUAACCUACCUCAUACUGAGGCAUAGCUGGGAGAAAUUCCAGGUAAUUCCUCAUGAGGUUAUAUGACACAUGUGAUAUAAUCAAAGGUAUCGCAAGGUACUGGUAUGAGAUGGGCUUACUGACCAUUAGCUAGUUGGUGAGAUAAGAGCUCACCAAGGCGAAGAUGGUUAGGGGUUUUGAGAGAGAGAUCCCCCACAUUGGAACUGAGAUACGGUCCAGACUCCUACGGGAGGCAGCAGUAGGGAAUAUUGGGCAAUGGGCGGAAGCCUGACCCAGCCAUGCCGCGUGAAGGAAGACGGGCCUUAUGGGUUGUAAACUUCUUUACUAUGCGACUAACUAGAUUUACGAGAUAAUUCUAUAGAAUGUAGCAUAGCAAAAAGCACC
Molecule: ribosomal RNA, 484 nt
Filed under: uncultured bacterium
Lineage: Bacteria
Description: bacterial SSU rRNA
Rfam family: Bacterial small subunit ribosomal RNA
Source: RNAcentral